CCCACGUUGACGUAUACCUGGGUCGUGGGGGUCUUGCAAAUCGAACACCACGUAGGAGUCUGCACACCAUUGUGUGUCUCCCUAUCGGUGCACCUUCUAACCCGUGAUGUCCAGCCGAAAUCGCUGACCUAUAGCCAUUAAUAGUCCGGUAUGCUAGACCUUGCUCGAAUAACCAUGUCAAGAAACGUAGAAUGCUGUUCAAAGGAGCACAUACGGGAUCCACUUGUUGUU
Molecule: non-coding RNA, 231 nt
Organism: Pelobates cultripes (western spadefoot toad)
Lineage: Eukaryota; Metazoa; Chordata; Amphibia; Anura; Pelobatidae
Source: the annotation of a GenBank genome assembly